CCCGAACUAACUCUAUCUUACAGGCCUACCACCUUAACUGGUUCUCUUGCCGGACCCGACCUAUAAGAAGUGUGAACCCCGAGCUCAACUCAGGCUACAAAUACAGUUAGGGCUCUGGACUACUAUACAACACCUCCGGCUUACAAGCACAUAACAAGUAAUCAAUUCAUUGCACCCGACCCGACCUAUCAGUAUGACUUUAUUGGCCUACCUCGACU
RNAcentral lists this long non-coding RNA (218 nucleotides) under Musa acuminata (dwarf banana). RNAcentral's name for it is "long non-coding RNA (MACU_LNC008421)". Lineage: Eukaryota; Viridiplantae; Streptophyta; Magnoliopsida; Zingiberales; Musaceae. The record is from RNAcentral.